This 262-nucleotide long non-coding RNA is filed under the name Gossypium barbadense (sea-island cotton). RNAcentral's name for it is "long non-coding RNA (GBAR_LNC020902)". Lineage: Eukaryota; Viridiplantae; Streptophyta; Magnoliopsida; Malvales; Malvaceae. The record is from RNAcentral.
CCAUCUCUUCUCUCUUUUCACUCCCAUUUUUCAUUUUCUUCAAGAGAGUUUCACAUGGCUUUGAGAGCAGCCCCAGUUGGCCACACUAGGAGUUUUCAGCUUGGUUUUCAUGGCAAAAAGCAAACAUUGAAGGAGGGAAAAAGUGAUUUGUGCAUCGGAGAACCACUGGAAACGACUUAGGAUUUCUUAUCCCUUCAAUCUUUUAUUUUUGUUCAAUUCAAGAAACAUGAUUGCAACUAAGUUUUCUUAUUUUAAUAAAAUU